Molecule: small nucleolar RNA, 97 nt
Filed under: Salix viminalis (osier)
Lineage: Eukaryota; Viridiplantae; Streptophyta; Magnoliopsida; Malpighiales; Salicaceae
Source: RNAcentral
UUGAGCUCUGAUGAUAAAUGCUUAUAAUCCCAGCUCAUUAUGAGACCUUUUUGUAAGGUCUGGGAAUUCACUCUCUCACAUUUAACUGAGCUCUUUC